This 253-nucleotide ribosomal RNA is filed under the name uncultured bacterium. RNAcentral's name for it is "partial 16S ribosomal RNA". It matches the Rfam family "Bacterial small subunit ribosomal RNA", at positions 524 to 776 of the family's 1533-position model. The record is from RNAcentral.
UACGUAGGGGGCGAGCGUUGUCCGGAUUUACUGGGCGUAAAGCGUGCGCAGGCGGUUCGUUAAGUUCGUCGUGAAAGCCCCGGGCUCAACCUGGGAACUGCGAUGGAAACUGGCGGGCUUGAGUGUGGCAGAGGGGGGUGGAAUUCCGCGUGUAGCAGUGAAAUGCGUAGAGAUGCGGAGGAACACCGAUGGCGAAGGCAGCCCCCUGGGCCAACACUGACGCUCAGGCACGAAAGCGUGGGGAGCAAACAGG